This 69-nucleotide transfer RNA is filed under the name Bos taurus (domestic cattle). It matches the Rfam family "tRNA". Rfam says of the family: Transfer RNA (tRNA) molecules are approximately 80 nucleotides in length. Their secondary structure includes four short double-helical elements and three loops (D, anti-codon, and T loops). Lineage: Eukaryota; Metazoa; Chordata; Mammalia; Artiodactyla; Bovidae. The record is from Rfam by way of RNAcentral. RNAcentral also lists the same sequence under 4 other names.
CCUGGUAGCUCAGAUGGUAAAGCAUCUGCCUACAAUGCAGGAAACCUGGGUUUGAUCCCUGGGUCAGGA